CCCUUAGAUGUUCUGGGCCGCACGCGCGCUACACUGACGAAUGCAACGAGCUUAUAACCUUGUCCGAAAGGUCUGGGUAAUCUCCAAAUUUCGUCGUGAUGGGGAUAGAUUAUUGCAAUUAUUAAUCUUCAACGAGGAAUGCCUAGUAAGCGCAAGUCAUCAGCUUGCGUUGAUUACGUCCCUGCCCUUUGUACACACCGCCCGUCGCUCCUACCGAUUGAAUGGUCCGGUGAAGCGUUCGGACCGUGGCCUUUGGACGGUUCGCCGUCUGUUGGCUGCGGGAAGUUCGUUAAACCUUAUCAUUUAGAGGAAGGAGAAGUCGUAGCA
Molecule: ribosomal RNA, 327 nt
Filed under: uncultured eukaryote
Lineage: Eukaryota
Description: partial 18S ribosomal RNA
Rfam family: Eukaryotic small subunit ribosomal RNA
Source: RNAcentral